UCUCUCUUCAAUUGAAAGAUCUCAAAUUCUCAUUCAUCUCUCUUCUCUUACACACUUUUCCCUCUCUCUCUUUAUAUCUUUAUCAUCUAAUUCAUUUUCAGAUCUUGAAGAACUUCAUCCAGAUCUAAAAGUGAUAUGAAUCCAAAAGAUGAUCCAGUUCAAAAAAUCAUCAUCCAGAUGCUCCAGAUCUAGAAGAUCAUCAUCCAGAUGUUCGAUGUUUGAACAUGAUAUUCCAAAUCUAGAAGAUCCUCCUCCAGAUCCGGUUGAAGAUGAUCGAUGUUGAAGAUGAUGUGAUGGCGGUUCGAUGUUGAAGAUGACCCCAAAGAUGUUCGAUGUUUAAACAUGAUGUUCCAGAUCUAGAAGAUCCUCCAGGUCCAUAACUUUGUUGCAAAUCUACACUUUGAAGAUGAUGUUUUAGAUGUUUGAAGAUGACGUUUCAGAUGUUGAAGAUGAUUCAAAAGAUGUUUGAUGUUGAACAUAGUUACGAAAUGUAA
Helianthus annuus (common sunflower) is the source of this 494-nucleotide long non-coding RNA. RefSeq lists it as uncharacterized. NCBI's taxonomy places the organism in Eukaryota, Viridiplantae, Streptophyta, Magnoliopsida, Asterales, Asteraceae. The transcript has 2 exons. The record is from RefSeq and is a predicted model, not a curated record.